CCUACGGGGGGCAGCAGUGGGGGAUCUUGGACAAUGGGCGAAAGCCUGAUCCAGCGACGCCGCGUGGGGGACGAAGGCCUUCGGGUUGUAAACCCCUGUUGUUGGGAAAGAAGCCGGCUCUGCCGGUGACGGUACCCAACGAGGAAGCCCCGGCUAACUACGUGCCAGCAGCCGCGGUAAGACGUAGGGGGCGAGCGUUAUCCGGAUUCACUGGGCGUAAAGGGCGCGCAGGCGGUUACGUAAGUCCGGCGUGAAAUCCCACGGCUCAACUGUGGAACUGCGUCGGAUACUGCGUUGACUUGAGGAUGGUAGAGGCCAUUAGAACUAGCGGUGUAGCGGUGAAAUGCGCAGAUAUCGCUAGGAAUGCCGGUGGCGAAGGCGGAUGGCUGGGCCACUCCUGACGCUGAGGCGCGAAAGCUAGGGGAGCGAACCGGAUUAG
RNAcentral lists this ribosomal RNA (439 nucleotides) under uncultured bacterium. Its description in RNAcentral is "bacterial SSU rRNA". It matches the Rfam family "Bacterial small subunit ribosomal RNA", at positions 338 to 781 of the family's 1533-position model. The record is from RNAcentral.